Molecule: non-coding RNA, 175 nt
Organism: Caenorhabditis elegans
Lineage: Eukaryota; Metazoa; Nematoda; Chromadorea; Rhabditida; Rhabditidae
Source: Ensembl
GGUUUAUUUGUAAAUGUUCUCUAAUAAAUGUCAGAAGUUCUGAGGUACUCAUAGAUCUCAAUUGUUGCGAUUUAAGAAUUCUUUUACUUUUUACACCUCCGGACAUUAUAUCAAGAAGUUUAAUGACUUCUUUACGAAGAUCAUCUCUUGACAUUGAAUUGAAAUGAUCCAUUUU